ACGCAUCUCUGGCGGCGAGGGUGCGCCCUGCUCCGGACCGAAAGGCCGUGCAGCGGGCUAUCCCGGACCGCUAAACCUUUGCAAACCCACUGUGCACUUUUGUCGGCAAAGGGCCUUAGCGGGCCCGGAGCCGGAUCACAAACACUUUGUCAAUCGAAUGCAAGCGGACACUGAGCCGCCUAAACUUUAA
RNAcentral lists this unclassified non-coding RNA (190 nucleotides) under uncultured Basidiomycota. RNAcentral's name for it is "sequence contains ITS1". Lineage: Eukaryota; Fungi; Basidiomycota. The record is from RNAcentral.